AUUGAACGCUGGCGGCAGGCCUAACACAUGCAAGUCGAACGGUAACAGGAAGAAGCUUGCUUCUUUGCUGACGAGUGGCGGACGGGUGAGUAAUGUCUGGGAAACUGCCUGAUGGAGGGGGAUAACUACUGGAAACGGUAGCUAAUACCGCAUAACGUCGCAAGACCAAAGAGGGGGACCUUCGGGCCUCUUGCCAUCGGAUGUGCCCAGAUGGGAUUAGCUAGUAGGUGGGGUAACGGCUCACCUAGGCGACGAUCCCUAGCUGGUCUGAGAGGAUGACCAGCCACACUGGAACUGAGACACGGUCCAGACUCCUACGGGAGGCAGCAGUGGGGAAUAUUGCACAAUGGGCGCAAGCCUGAUGCAGCCAUGCCGCGUGUAUGAAGAAGGCCUUCGGGUUGUAAAGUGCUUUCAGCGGGGAGGAAGGGAGUAAAGUUAAUACCUUGGCUCAUUGACGUUACCCGCAGAAGAAGCACCGGCUAACUCCGUG
This 490-nucleotide ribosomal RNA is filed under the name uncultured bacterium. RNAcentral describes it as "partial 16S ribosomal RNA". It matches the Rfam family "Bacterial small subunit ribosomal RNA", at positions 30 to 507 of the family's 1533-position model. The record is from RNAcentral.